AAAGAUAGAAAUGACUGUUUGAAUGGUGUGGUCUGAACAGUUUGUUUUAGCGAGGCGGGGCCCGACACUUGCCACGCCUGUCAAGACACUCGUUUAUGAAGGAAUUUCAUGGUUUAUUUUUCAAAGAAUUACUUUCUGGCCAGGUAACUUCGUGGCCCCCCUCUAUUCUCCCCACGGCCAUUUAAGGGAUCGUCCUCCUUCACUUGGGAAGUAUUAGUCCGAACCAUUCACGUGACAAGGUCGUCAAGUGCAGUCAGUCAACAAGGACGUGGCAGCAGUGUGUCAUUCAGUGGUUCACGAGAUUAUUAACCGCUUCAGUGCUAUGACGCAUUUUCUUAAUCAUUCUGCUUACUAUUGGUGACUUUAUACAGUGGGUUAUGCUCUUAUGGGUAUUUCAGACGUGGUUCUUGGUGAGGACUGGUGGUGAUGGUGUGGUGGUGUGACAGAACUCGAAUAUUCGAGGAGUUGAUGAAUCUGAUGAUUUGAGUGUGUCGGCCAAUGUCCUGCAGUCAUGUCUCGGGUACUUUUUCCUCAUGUUCUUCACCACGCAGAAUGAUCUUGGCAAGGAAGAGCGUAACGAACGGCCUUCGCUGCCACCUAAGCACGUUAGCGGGAGGGAGGCGAGAAGUGCCGUGGUAUCCUUGUGGUGACAGCACCGGAGUGAAACCACUGCCCAGCUGGAGAUCUUUUUGGCAAAAGCUAAUUGUGAAGAGUCCUGCGCUAGUCAACUGGUGAUCGAGCUGUGGCGCCACUACAUCUGGUUGUCUCACACUCCUUGCACAUCUUGAAAUAAUCUCCAGCCAUCCUGAGUAUCAUUAUUGGUAAAUCCGUGAAGUAGCUUGGAAGAUGCAGGAGCGGAGGAGUCACACGCGUACUCUCUCUUCAUCAAGGAAGUAUCCGUUCCGUGCAUGGUACUAAAAAUUAAGAUACGAUUGACUUGAUUACGGAAAUAAACUUACACAUUUUCAAUGAAGCUUCCGUUAGUGUAUUUCGAGACUAUCUUCAAGGAAACAAAUUUUUCUCAAUGUUGACAAUAUCCCCUGAUGAUCUUUUUAAUUUGGUUGACGCACCUGUCUUGGGCUGCUUUAAGGUCACGUUAACGAUGCUCAUAGAUCUUGUCUCCGCCGCCUCCUCUCACCUGCCAAUUUUAAUACACACCGGAAUUAUAUUUCUUUUCAACAUCCUUCACUCCUACCACCACACACAAUUACAUACAAACAAUCACUAACAAGCGCUCGCCUAUUACACUUUCCUACAUUCACGGUCUGCCACGACGCUCCAAAGAAAACAAACACCAUUCACCGUUUUUUGACUUUAGGAUAACAUAUUAUAAAAGCAGACUCACCACAGCUGCAAGUUUCAACAACGGCUUCUCAACAACUCGGCAGUCGGCAGUAAACUGAAGCCAGUGCGGUGCGCCUCUUCCUCACCAUUCACCAUGCGUGAAAUCAAACAGGAGGCCAGUUAUCUAUAUACUUUUGAUUUACAGUUUCUCAUUAUAGAACAAUCUCACAUCAAAAGUGAUUUUUCCAGAAUUAUGACUAAAUAAAAGGAAAUGUGUCGUGUUGCAAGGCAAGACCGGACGUUGUGAAUGUUUCCGUGCCUAAAUGUUAGAUAGACAUCCUUCAUGAGCACCCGAUACCUGCCGCCAAAACGCCUUCUAUUUAAAUAUUUUGCUGCGUAACAUUUAUUUAGCUGCCAUGAAUGAGUGUCUUUUAGUACCGAAUAUUGAAGGCCUCGGAAAAAUUUUAUUAUAUAUUUUUAUUUCUCAUAUGGAUAUGAGUGCCUCUUAAACGGUUGUGAAUAGUAUUUUGGUAAUCAACUUUAUACCGAAGAGCAGUAAACCACUUGGGCCAAACAGGUAACAUCGUCUCGCUUCCCUUGUGUGACAUCAUUUACACUCCUGUGAACAACAACUAUAAGAACAACAAUAACAACAAUGAUAGUCAUAAUGAAAGCAACAACAAUAAUAACAAUAAGAAAUCCAACUUUCAUUUUAAUGGUAAUAACUGGAAUUCGUGUCAGUAUGAACAUUUUAUUUACAUUAAUACAUGGUAACAAAAUAUAUUCAAAUGAAAAAAAAAAAAAAAAAAAAAAAAACGAUACCUCACAAAAUAUUGCAUACACUUUCCUGUGCACACGAAGCGCAGGAUUUCACGCGGACUCAAGUAUCUGUGACAUAACCAGCGACUUCCACCCUCCUCCCUGUCACGUUGGUGUUAGCGUAUUUCAGAUGUCUUUUUUUUAUUU
Long non-coding RNA from Portunus trituberculatus (swimming crab), 2250 nucleotides. RefSeq lists it as uncharacterized. The transcript is spliced from 3 exons. The record is from RefSeq and is a predicted model, not a curated record. Lineage: Eukaryota; Metazoa; Arthropoda; Malacostraca; Decapoda; Portunidae.